This is a small nucleolar RNA of Marmota marmota marmota (Alpine marmot), 122 nucleotides long. NCBI's taxonomy places the organism in Eukaryota, Metazoa, Chordata, Mammalia, Rodentia, Sciuridae. The record is from Ensembl.
ACACCGGAUAUUAUUUUAAAAAAUUUAUCUAUGUCGUCCCAUGCCAGAGCAAACUGUGGCCCUGAAUUAUUGCCUGGUCUCUGUGCCUGUGGGGUGCUGUUACUGAAGCCAGUUGCACAGUA